This 5555-nucleotide long non-coding RNA is filed under the name Hordeum vulgare. RNAcentral's name for it is "long non-coding RNA (HVUL_LNC002763)". The record is from RNAcentral. Lineage: Eukaryota; Viridiplantae; Streptophyta; Magnoliopsida; Poales; Poaceae.
UUCAACCUAAUUUCUUCUUGUUCGGUAGGUCGGUUUUUCCGGAUCUCGCCUCCAAGAUUGUUCCAUCUUUUCUCGACCUCAAAUCUGUUUGUUCAUGCCUACAGGAUCUCCUCGCGGCCGGCUCUAUGCAUACCUCGUGUCCGAUGCACGCGUUCAUUGUGUAGAACACAGAUCGAUCUGAGCUGCUCAUGCCCGGUGAGUCUAGAUAGACUUGUAAUCGUUCAUUGUUUGUGGUUAAUUUCAAUCAGAACGAAACUUCUUUUGGUUUCUGAUGUUACGAAGGUGUUUACAUGAUCUCUUUCCUCUUGUUUCUAUAUGUUCUGGUUUGAUCUCUACAGUUUUCCUUUUCUUUCGAAAUUUUAUUGGCUCGCCGUCUUAUUUUCUUCAAUAAAAGUCGAGAUCCCGUACGUUUUUCCCGUGGGAACGGAACGGGGAGUCUGAAUCUGAAACAGACGCACCCACGCGUCUCGUACGUUCUUGCGUCUCGUACAUUUUUGCAUCUCGUACGUUUUUGCUGGUGUCUCGAAGGUGAAGGUGCUUAGAUGAUUUCUUCCAUCUGGUUGGUUUCUACAUGUCUGAUUUGAUCUCUACAAUCUCCUUUUUGCCUUCUGAAACUUUAUCGAUUCUGAAACUUUUUUUGUUUGAACGAAAUAUAAACCGGACACCGUCCGAGAUCCCGUGCGUUUUUCCAUCACGAAUGCCCCGGCAUCUUGCCUAUAUUUUUUCCAUCUUCUUCGUAGAUCUAUCCGUCGGCAGAUGAGUGACAACUCGUUUGUCCUCUCUCUUGUCGAUCUCCCCGUGCAGCUGUUGUUUCACGCCAAACAGACUGCCAUCCGUUUGAUUGGUUUUCCAGCGGACUACUUUCAGGCUUGUAUCUUAACUGAAUUUCCUCUGCUAACAGAUAACAGAUGAGCUGCAUAUACAGUUGGAGACCAAAAACGACAAUAGCAACCCAGAACGCCAGGUAAACUUUCUGACAUCAUAUCCAUUCUCACGCUGCUAUCAUUCAACAUAAAUUGAACACAAUGCAUAGAAAAACAUUUCCUCAUCUCGCAAUAAAAUCAACAUAGCCAGGUUCCAUUAUCAUAUCUUCAAAACAUUCAAACACAAGUCGUAGAUCGUAACUCAGUCUCACCGAUAUAAACUCAUACUGUCUCACUACAUAUGCGUAAGAAAAGUUGACGGAAAUUAUAGUUGUCCUGGAAGAUUCUGGAAAGGUAUUUAUUCGCAAAAGAACAAAUUACGGCUGACGCUUGUCCUAGGCUAUUCCGCAAGUGCUUUUACUGCAACACCUGUGAUCCUAAGAAACCAAUGUCAGCUUAUGAAACUAAUGUCAACGUAUUAUGUGUGUAUGUACUAUAAAAUAACAUGCAACUUAACAUAAACUCUAUUGUUUGGCAGGGAAUAACAUGGAUUUUAGUACAUCUACCUUUUUGCCGACUAACUUUUAACUAGGAAACAGCCAACCGACACAGCAGAUACCGGAGAAGACCCAAAAUGACAAAUGAACUUUCUGAAGCCUUUAUAUUUCGUUUAAAUACAGUUACAAUGUUUGACAAAUUAAGAAUAAUAGUUUUCUAGAUAACACAGUUUUAGAUUACUCAGGCUGAGGCCGGGGCAGGGAGGAGUCGGAUCUGAAUGCAGGGAGUGAGCGGCUCUGGCUGCUCUGUAUUUUUAGGUUGCUCCUCUUUGUACUUGUUCUAUGCUCUGUCUCUGUAUUGCUGCUACUGCUAUAUAAUGAACUGUUCCGUUGGAAAUAGAGGAUUCCAAAUUUAGACAAUCCACUAGAAAAACCGAGUUGUCCAAAAUGAUUUUUUUACUGUUGUUUAACAAAUUUAGGCAAGCCACUUGAGAUGAUCUAACAACAACUAACAGCAUGUUCUAAGAUGCUAUGCCUUAGCACUGUACCUUGGUCAAUGGCGGUUGCGGUUGCCCUUCUUCUUCGGUCCACCGUGAGCUCGCAGGUAAGCCUCCCUUGCCUGCGCAUGGCGGAGCAGCUGCUGAGUCUCCUGCCGGUCCAGGUAGGCAUGCAUCGCCAUGUGAUGGGUCUGGUUAUCGUGCCUCGUAUCCUUGCAAUGUUCGCAGUACCACUUUAUGACUGGCGGUGCCACUCGCCCUCCCUGGCCUUCGGCUACAGCUGCUGCUACGCCGAGGCCCCUCCCACCAGGUCCGCGGCCCCGGCCUCCAGGUCCGCAGCCCCGGCCUCCGCCGCGACCUCCGCGUCCACCCAUGCUGCCUGCAAACACGGAAUUUCAGAAAACACGAUUCUGCUCUGCUUUGGUUAAAGCGGUUCUUCACAUCUGAAAAGGAAAUAGAAAAACCAGCGCAGAAUUGAAUCGGAUCUGAACAGGGAAUUAAAAAAUGCUUGAGUUAAAGCGGUUCUUCAGAUCUGAAGAGGAAAUAGAAAAACCAGCACAGAAUUGAAUCACGCGCAGAAUUGAGGCUGCGUUUGGAACAUUGUUUUUUUGCUACACUUGUAAUAUUUUACACUUGUAUUAUACUAGCCUACAAUCAGAAAACAUGUCAGGAUUGUAUUUCCAUUCCGCUUCCCAGCUUCCGUUUGGAUUGUUGUUUUUCUCCCACCCUUGUAACCUGGCUGCCAUAGCCUAAAUUUUCAAAAGCACAAACUUUUAGGUACGGUUGUAACAUUGCAAAUUCAGGUCAUUCGUACUGACUGUACUUCCAUAAAUUUGAGUUCCCAUUCCCCACAAAUUAGCAUGAGCCAUGGCACAGGCGCACAUCCAGCAUCACAACUCUGUCGUGCUGUUACCUCCAGCAAAUAAAAUCACAGAUCCACACCCAAAUGGUGUAUCAUUAUUUAUUGCAGUAGAUGGGGGGAGAAAACAAGGACUUGCCAAAAAUCAACGGAGCAAACUAAGACCAUUCUCACCAACUGGGCAAAUACAGAAAAAACAUGUCUUUUUCGGUUGCAUUCAUCCUCGAGACAAUGUGUAAGUCAAAGGAGGAACCAAGAAACUCCUGCAAGCAAAUCUUACUUUGCUUGAGGAUGCGAUGCGAUGAAGUCAACUGCUGAUUUGAUGGAAUCGAUCCUCUCUGCCUCAUUGUCGGGGAUUUCGAAGCUGAACUCUUCCUCAAAGGCCAUGACGAUCUCGACACUGCACAUGCCAUUCAAGUUCAGUAUACACAGAACCAAUGCAAAUAUAGCUUGACAAUGAAAGUGCCACUGCAACAAUAAAACAAUUAAACGGAAAAUGCGUGUAGAUAAACGGAACAUGAAGUGCUGGCAUGUAGUCCACCACACAAAUUGCCAUCUUAAAUUCUUGACAGUAAGAAACAAAAUUCAGUGCUUAUAUGUUUCACAACCCUACAAAAGAUACUUGUACGCAUAUAUGUAAAACAAAUUCGGUUCUAGGAAGAAAAACUGGUUCGAAACAUAUAUGCUGGCCAACUUUUGCACAGUUUUGAGCUAGCUGCCGAGUCUAGGAUAUUAAAAAUACCCGCAAAACAUUAAGAGAAGGACAACAAAAUCAAACAAACUAAUUUCAGAUAGACAUAUAUGCAAAACAAAUUCGGUUCUAGGAAGAAAAACUGGUUCGAAACAACAAAGUUCGUUAACAAUAUAUUGAUCUAAUUUGAAAUAGGAAACUGAAGGUCCGUUACUUAACACAUGGUAGAGUAAAUUAACAUUUGUCUACCUGACAGUCAUGUGAAGUACAUUAACAACCAAGUUAACCUGCUCAUGCCGAUGCAGUAAACUUCGGAAAUUAGAUAACAUAAAUGGCUGAACUACUAGCAACCUGAACUUCACAAGGUUCUUUCAGAAUGGGACGUAGUACUGGUUAAAGAUCAUGCUCGCGCUCUCGUCCAACCGCUUCAUUAAUAUAGGCAUGAGCAUCUUUGAGAGGAGAGGGAGCAAGGACAAUACCUAUGAUCAAAGCACCAGAUUGAUUGAAGGAAUAUCGCCAGGUGAAAACCGAGCUGCAAAGGAAUACUCGCUCAAAUAAGCCUUGGAAACUUAUCUUUAGUGGGGAGAAUAAAUGCAGAAAACCAAGUUUUAUGGGACUUACAAGGAGGAGGCUGAGGACUGAUCUUGUCGACUUCCUUCUUUAACCACAUACCCCGCAGUCUUGAGUUGUAACCCAGGAAAAUCUCACGGUUUGCUGCAUCUUUGAAAACAUCAGAGGCAAAGAUUUUCACCUCGUCGGGCACAUCUUCCAUAUCAUUCAAGAUUUCCAAGCAUUCUCUAAUUGAGGGUUGUUUUCCUUGUUGUGACACUCUCUCCUUCUUAGUAGCUUGCUCUUUCUUGAAAUUCACAUACGCCAUCAUUGAAUCUUCAAGGCGUUGUACAGAUGUGGCACUUUUCUGUUUUUUGGGUCUCCUUCCUUUGGCACUUGAUUCACUUAUUUGUGGAUGGUCUCCAUCAGCAUCACUGCCAAAUUCUUCCUCGUCAUGGACAGUGUUUUCUCUUUCAGCAUCUCCAUCAACAUCAUCCCAUGCACGAAUAUCAUUGAUGUCAAUUAUCGAAGGAGUCCUCAUGCUGUCAUCGCUUCGAUCUCUUGUAUUUCUCUUGAUGGAGCUGGCAACCAUCUUCUCCUUUGCUCCAAAGUUGCUACCUGAUUUUGUGAUAGUCGGAGGCUUCUUUGAUGUGAGACAAUGCCUUCCUUGAGUAAUGUGCCCUUCAUAGAGCACACCCAAUGCCUCAUACAAGGGGAAACUUUUUCCUUCAUACAUUUUGAGCUUUGAAUCCUUCUAUAUAAUCAAUAGAAAGGUUGAGAAAAUCAUGCAUAGGCAAAGAAAAGUACAUGCACUACAAGGAAUAAAAACUUACCGCAAUGAUCUCAACACUGGUUGUAUCUAAAGCAGCAANCUAUAUAAUCAAUAGAAAGGUUGAGAAAAUCAUGCAUAGGCAAAGGAAAGUACAUGCACUACAAGGAAUAAAAACUUACCGCAAUGAUCUCAACACUGGUUGUAUCUAAAGCAGCAAGUUCUGCUUCCAUGGUUGACCUCGUCAAUAUGGUCUGUUUGCAAGACCUUCAUGACACUGCGUCACCUCCAUGCACUGCGCCAUCAAUCAACAUGGAAUUAUUUUGCAAUUUUUGCUGCAGAAUAAAAACAGUUCCUAAGUUCGUGUGGAGAUAGUUUAAUCUUAUUUAAAUUGAACAAACUUGCUUACAUUUACGCAUGGACAAAGUUGCUUAUAACACACAUGAUAGUUGAUUAAAUCUAGUAUGCUUGUUGCCGGGAGAAGGGACACAUCUGUUGGAGGGAUGCAUGGCUUAUAUUGCUUGCAUAGACGGUGAUUUUUUUCAUAUCUCCAUAGAUAAUGAUGUCAAGCAACACUGCAAGUACGAUAGUUGCCUAAGAUGUGCACAAGAGUUGAACAACAUAAGCACAAAGUUGUUGAUCAUGCUUCCCUUAGCUAUGCCAAUAUAUUCUAUAAUUUAUUUGUAUUUUUCUUUGCCGAUGAAAACACAUAGGAGUUGCUUGAUGAAUGAACUGAAAUUGCAGAAAUUAAUGAUCGUGUGUGGAGACCUGCUGCCCGCUUUACUGUUUUUGUUAAAAGUGGAGAGGGACAAUUGAUGCUACAAUUGGUG